GGGGGUGUAGCUCAACGGGAGAGCGUCCCCUUGGCGUGGGGAAGGUUGUGGGUUCAAAUCCCAUCACCUCCA
Molecule: transfer RNA, 72 nt
Filed under: Pseudomonadota bacterium
Lineage: Bacteria; Pseudomonadati; Pseudomonadota
Also listed under: 1 other name
Description: tRNA-Ala
Rfam family: tRNA
About the family: Transfer RNA (tRNA) molecules are approximately 80 nucleotides in length.
Source: RNAcentral